UGGGGAAUAUUGCACAAUUGGCGCAAGCCUGAUGCAGCCAUGCCGCGUGUGUGAAGAAGGCCUUCGGGUUGUAAAGCACUUUCCGCGGGGAGGAAGGCGAUAAGGUUAAUAACCUUGUCGAUUGACGUUACCCGCAGAAGAAGCACCGGCUAACUCCGUGCCAGCAGCCGCGGUAAUACGGAGGGUGCAAGCGUUAAUCGGAAUUACUGGGCGUAAAGCGCACGCAGUCGGUCUGUCAAGUCGGAUGUGAAAUCCCCGGGCUUAACCUGGGAACUGCAUUCGAACCUGGCAGGCUAGAGUCUUGUAGAGGGGGGUAGAAUUCCAGGUUUAGCGGUGAAAUGCGUCGAGAUCUGGAGGAAUACCGGUGGCGAAGGCGGCCCCCUGGACAAAGACUGCCGCUCAGGUGCGAAAGCGUGGGGAGCAAACAGG
RNAcentral lists this ribosomal RNA (429 nucleotides) under Chloroflexota bacterium. RNAcentral describes it as "Chloroflexi bacterium partial 16S ribosomal RNA". It matches the Rfam family "Bacterial small subunit ribosomal RNA", at positions 355 to 776 of the family's 1533-position model. Lineage: Bacteria; Bacillati; Chloroflexota. The record is from RNAcentral.